This is a long non-coding RNA of Manis pentadactyla (Chinese pangolin), 1048 nucleotides long. RefSeq lists it as uncharacterized. The record is from RefSeq and is a predicted model, not a curated record. The transcript has 3 exons. Lineage: Eukaryota; Metazoa; Chordata; Mammalia; Pholidota; Manidae.
AGGGCCUCAGGAGCUAGACUCUAGCCGGUGUAAGUCAUAGAGGAAACUGAACCUGGGCCAGGCAUCGAGGUCCAGAGGAUCCAGAUGGCCCCGAGAGCAGGAACUGGAGGCAGGACUCAGCCACGGGAAUAAAGCCUGUUAGGCCUGAGAUCAGGCCAGAGAAGGACCCUAGGCUGGCUGGCUCAAGAACAAAUCCUAGAGACAUCUGAACUUUAAAUUCUCCCCAACUUAGGAAAGGCCGAACCAGAGACCACAGCAGAGAUGAGCUGAUAUGAAGAUGACCAAGUGGCCCCAGGGAAGGUGUCUGGGGGGCUGCAAAACACAAAGCCAGACAGGCUGCUGCGCUCAGCAGAGAAGGGAUUUCAAGGUGGAAGUCACAAAGCAAAAAUAGACAGUAAUGAAGAGAACACAGGUGGUAUGAAGGAAAAGAGGCCACAGCCAGUGGCCCUGACUGCCUGGAAGAGUGCUUGCACACAUAGGCCUCUGUUUGCCCAGGAAUGAGAGAAGAACAGCACUAAUGAACAUUAGUGAUGCUUACCAUGGCUCUUCAUCAAUACAGGAAGCAACCACCUGCCCAAUUCCUCCCUAGCCUCUGUAAUGCCAUGCCCCAGAGACAAUUGGUUCCAACAUUUUAAGCUGUUGCUUCUCUUGUUUACUUCCAUAUAGCCAAUAAAAUGUCAACACUGGCAGUUCUUUUUUUAUUUCUCCCCACUUCUCCUGUUAUCUAUCAACUUCCAACUAUGAAAAAAUGAGAAUUCUGCUCUUACGGCAUUUCUCCACAUGCCUUCAAUCCUCCAUGGUCCUCACACAGUUAUAUCAUAAUUAUUGGUAAGGUUAAUAUUUAGUAUUUAAGUUACAUAAUGAGGCAGCUAUUCAUAGUGUAGUUGUGCAGCAGCUAUUAGCAUUUCUCUCUUAUACUACUAAGAACUUUCUCUGGAGUUAAUAAUGACCUCAUUUUUCUCUGCUUAUUCUAGAGACCUGCCACUAGUUCAUCCCCAAACUCAGCUGGAAGCGCGGAUCUCUUCCUAGUACAUUCACACACGUGAGA